GGAGUCUGGACCGUUUCUCAGUUCCAAUGUGGCCGUUCAACCUCUCAGUCCGGCUACCGAUCGUUGACUUGGUGGGCCGUUGCCCCGCCAACUAUCUAAUCGGACGCGAGCCCAUCCCUAUGCAAUAAAUCUUUGCCAACAGGACCAUGCGAUCCCGUUGGUUCAUGCGGUAUUAGCAUCCGUUUCCGGAGGUUAUCCCGCACAUAGGGGCAGGUUGCUCACGCGUUACUCACCCGUCCGCCACUGACUUGAGGACCGAAGCCCUCUCGCCCGUUCGACUUGAAUGUGUUAUGCACGCCGCCAGCGUUCAUC
This 312-nucleotide ribosomal RNA is filed under the name uncultured Ruminococcus sp. Its description in RNAcentral is "partial 16S ribosomal RNA". The record is from RNAcentral. Lineage: Bacteria; Bacillati; Bacillota; Clostridia; Eubacteriales; Oscillospiraceae.